RNAcentral lists this long non-coding RNA (580 nucleotides) under Physcomitrium patens. Its description in RNAcentral is "long non-coding RNA (PPAT_LNC011704)". Lineage: Eukaryota; Viridiplantae; Streptophyta; Bryopsida; Funariales; Funariaceae. The record is from RNAcentral.
UAUGCAAAAUUUGAAUUAAGAUCAACAGUUUAUUCAUUAGUUAUUGAGGUUUAAAUCUGUUUUAGAAAUUAUUAGGAUUUGGUUUAGGAUUUGGUUAGGAUUUUAUUUAGGGUUUAGGGUUUUUUAAGGGUUUGAUUUAGGAUUUAGGAUUUGAAUUAGGAUUUGAAUUAGAGUUUAGGAUUUGGAUUAGGGUUUAGUUAGGGUUUGAUUUAGGAUUUAGGAUUUGGUUUAGGGUUUGGUUAGGGUUAGAUUUAGGGUUUAGGAUUUGGUUUAGGAUUUGGUUUAGGAUUUGGUUUAGGAUUUGGUUGGAGUUUGGUUUAAGAUUUAUUUAGGGUUCGAUUUAGGGUUUAGGAUUUUAUUAGAAUUUAAGAUUUAAUUAGUUUUGGCCUAAAGUUUGAAUGAAGUUCAAUAGAAUUUUAACUAGAAUUAAAUUAAGAUUGAAUUGAGAUGUAUUUGAAUGAUAUUUGUGUUCUUUCUAAUGUUUUUUUAAAAAUUCCUAUUGUUUGUUUGAAAUUUCUUUGAGGUUUUUUUAAAUUUGAUUAAGCUUGCUUAGUAUUAUUAUAGUCUAAUUAGAGCAUUG